GAAGCAUUAUUUUCUCACCAUCAGGUGUAAUAUGUCAGCUGGAACAGCCGAUGGGCGGAAAAGUGUACAAACUUCAGUGGUUCCAUCUCCCAUAGACAUCUGCCUCAUAAGAACAGAAAGUGUGACCAUGUAAAGUGUUCCAUAAGCACUCCAAGACAUUUAUAAUGAUAAUGAGGAGGAGGAGGAGGAAGACGACAACAGUAACCCUAAUAUCAUAUACCAUUAUGAAGGGCUUCCUAUGUGCCUGAUGCUGAGCUCUAUUCUAUGUAGUUUUUUUCAUUUCCUGUGUGUAGUCAUUCACAAGACA
RNAcentral lists this long non-coding RNA (307 nucleotides) under Ictidomys tridecemlineatus (thirteen-lined ground squirrel). RNAcentral's name for it is "lncRNA (ENSSTOG00000031755.1)". Lineage: Eukaryota; Metazoa; Chordata; Mammalia; Rodentia; Sciuridae. The record is from RNAcentral.